This 392-nucleotide ribosomal RNA is filed under the name uncultured bacterium. Its description in RNAcentral is "bacterial SSU rRNA". It matches the Rfam family "Bacterial small subunit ribosomal RNA", at positions 355 to 764 of the family's 1533-position model. The record is from RNAcentral.
UGGGGAAUAUUGGACAAUGGGGGAAACCCUGAUCCAGCAAUGCCGCGUGAGUGAAGAAGGCCUUAGGGUUGUAAAGCUCUUUCGCCCGCGAAGAUAAUGACGGUAGCGGGAGAAGAAGCCCCGGCUAACUCCGUGCCAGCAGCCGCGGUAAUACGGAGGGGGCUAGCGUUGUUCGGAAUUACUGGGCGUAAAGCGUACGUAGGCGGAUGCGCAAGUUGGGGGUGAAAUCCCGGGGCUUAACCUCGGAAUUGCCCUCAAAACUGCACGUAUUGAGACCGAAAGAGGUAAGGGGAAUUCCUAGUGUAGAGGUGAAAUUCGUAGAUAUUAGGAAGAACACCAGUGGCGAAGGCGCCCUACUGGCUCGGUACUGACGCUGAGGUACGAAAGCGUGG